CAGUAAAUAGUUUAAUUAAAAUAUUAAUUUUGGAGAUUAAUGAUAAGUUUCAUUACUUUUUACUGA
RNAcentral lists this transfer RNA (66 nucleotides) under Aelia fieberi. Its description in RNAcentral is "tRNA-Pro". The record is from RNAcentral. Lineage: Eukaryota; Metazoa; Arthropoda; Insecta; Hemiptera; Pentatomidae.